Molecule: long non-coding RNA, 1102 nt
Organism: Trichosurus vulpecula (common brushtail)
Lineage: Eukaryota; Metazoa; Chordata; Mammalia; Diprotodontia; Phalangeridae
Exons: 2
Source: RefSeq, a predicted model, not a curated record
AGGAGCAGAUAUAAUUUCAUUGGUUUGGAAAUUUCCUCUACCAAAGCAGAAUCCCAAGUCUUAAAAGUUGUGCUUCCUGACAGCUUAAUUGACUUGCUUGUGGUUAUGCAGCUAAUGUAUGUUCCAGGCACCUUAGAAGAACUGAAAAUUUAUCUCUGAAAGCAGCUGCACAAAACCCCUGAAGCUUGGGACAGUACACCCUCCACACUAGAAGCAGAGAUCUACCUUAGCAAAGAGCUAAUAAGUCAAGUAAUUGGCAGGGAAAAUAAGCAAACGGUGGAAAAAAAGUCAGACUAUAGAAUCUUACUUUGGUGACAAGGAAGAUCAAAACAUAAAACCAGAAGAAGACAACAAAGUCAAAGUUCCUACAUCCAAAGCCUCCAAGAAGAAUAUGAAUUGGUCACAGGCCGUGGAAGAGCUCAAAAGUUUUCCUUUCUUUAAAACUUUAUGGGCCCCAUCUUAAGAACCCUAGAUUUGGGACAUGUUUACCCACUGAAUUCCUUAGUGGUUCUCUCUUCUUGAAGAAGACAGGCUUGGCUCACACUGUAAAACCAAAUCCUGCUAUUCAGGAGAAUACAUUUGUGAGAAUUCAUAUUUUAAAAAAAAGGGAAGCUUUAUACUGGAUCACCAUCACCCUUUAGAGAAAUUGAAAUCAAGUAGCUAUGCUGAUCUGCUGCCAUGGUAUUUAUUUACUGGUGGCUAAGCUUUACAGGGGUAUUUGUUUAGUAUGGGAGCCCAACAUCUAGUUGAACUGGACUAACUACAUUCUUAAGACUUGUCAGUUUUUGGAUCAUUUCUUUGGAUUCCAAUCCAUAACAAUUUGGCUACAGGAGAAGGUGAGAGAUUUCUCACAGUUCUGAAAUGACCAUGAACAGUCUGGAAUCCUCCCUGUGGCUAUUGAUGAAGCUUUUCAGCCUGGGAAUCCCUAAGUCUGGAUUAAGUAGCCCCCAGAAUUGAUCCAGUUUGGCUGGAAUCCUCUAGCCAAACUAUUGUGGAAUUGGGGUGGGGCUGUGACCAAUGAAAGUGCCACCCUAGAUGGGUGAGUCCUUACUUAGCCUUUGGAAUGGCUCGGGGUUGAAUAAAUGUUUGACUUGGUAAGAUG